CGCAAUUGUUCUCAACACCGGUGUUACUCUCUCUCGUACCGAAUUGGAGUCGGAGUAGGGAAGGCUUUCGAACUACAUUUGAACUCUCCGGGAAAGAUGGCACGUAUGAUCCGAACCCCGCGACGGAGUGAUCGUGAUAGACUUAGGGCACAAAGGGUGCUCAGAGAGUAUAGAGUGUAUCGGAAGAAGGAUCACAUACCGUUGAUCGAGUUCGUAGCACACUUCGACACCCUCUGGAGGGCAGCUCAGGAGUUCGGAGUGACAGAGCAUGACGGCAUUGAGAAGCUAAUAGAAUUGCUCCCUGA
Long non-coding RNA from Salvia splendens (bonfire salvia), 305 nucleotides. RefSeq lists it as uncharacterized. The transcript has 3 exons. The record is from RefSeq and is a predicted model, not a curated record. NCBI's taxonomy places the organism in Eukaryota, Viridiplantae, Streptophyta, Magnoliopsida, Lamiales, Lamiaceae.